GAUGAACGCUGGCGGCGUGCCUAAUACAUGCAAGUCGAGCGAACGGACGAGAAGCUUGCUUCUUUGAUGUUAGCGGCGGACGGGUGAGUAACACGUGGAUAACCUACCUAUCAGACUGGUAUAACUUCGGGACACCGGAGCUAAUACCGGAUAAUAUUUUGAACCGCAUGGUUCAACAGUGAAAGACGGUCUUGCUGUCACUUCUAGAUGGCUCCGCGCUGCUUUAGCUAGUUGGUAAGGUAACGGCUUACCAAGGCAACGAUGCAUAGCCGACCUGGGAGGGGGAUCGGCCACACUGGAGCGGGGACACGGUCCAGACGCCUACGGGAGGCACCAGUAGGGAAUCGGACGCAGUGGGCGAAAGCCUGACGGAACAACGCCGCGUGAGUGAUAAAGGUCUUCGGAGCGUAAAACUCUGUUAUUAGGGAAGAACAUAUGUGUAAGUAACUGUGCACAACUUGACGGUACCUAAUCAGAAAGCCACGGCUAACUACGUG
RNAcentral lists this ribosomal RNA (497 nucleotides) under uncultured bacterium. RNAcentral's name for it is "partial 16S ribosomal RNA". It matches the Rfam family "Bacterial small subunit ribosomal RNA", at positions 28 to 507 of the family's 1533-position model. The record is from RNAcentral.